AAAAUUUUAAGAUCUUGGACAACGGAUGUCUUGGCUCCUCACACGAAGAAGAACGUUGCAUAAUGUGAUAAGUAACUGGAGUUGCAAACAUUGUGACAAGUUAAUCUUUGAAUGCACAUUGCGCGUGCCUUAUAAUUUAUUAUGAGGUGCAUAUUUGAUUCAGUAUCCUAUUUAAUUUUAAAAUUCUUCUUAAUUAAAAAAUAUUUUUAAUAUUUUUUAUUUUAAAAGAAGUAAAUUAAAAAUUUUUAAGUUUUAAAUAAAAUGGAUCUGAUUCAAGUAGGAGAACCCGCUGAACUGAAGCAUCUUAUUAAGCGGAGGAAAAGAAACUAACUAGGAUUCCCUUACUAAAGGCGAUCGAAGAGGGAAUAGCCCAAAAGUCUAAUCCUGAAAAGGAGAUGUAGACAUUGUAUCUUUGCUAAUGUUUAAGUUGUCUCGAUUGACACACGAUUCAGAGUUUUAGUCUCGUAAAACAAUAGCAAGUAUGGUACUUUGGAGUGAGUCGGGUACCUUGAGAGUGGUGCCUUAAGUCGGUGGUAUGCCCCAUCGAAGGCUAAAUAUAGUGAGGAGACCGAUAGCAUACAAGUAGUGUGAACGAAAGAUGAAAAGACCUCCAAAACGGAGAGUGCAAAGCGCCUGAACUUGUCCAGGUUUAAGGCUAUUUAUAGCGCCCGUCUUGAAACACGGAUUAGGGAGUUUAUCUGUAAUGCGAGUUUUUGUCAUUUAAAGAUAAAAGCGUAAAGAAAUUGACUGGCAUUUGCAUGGCGUUUGAGCAGUACAGAUAGAACCCGAAAGGUGGUGAACUAUGCCUGCACAGGACGAAGUCAGGGGAAACUCUGAUGGAGGUCCGUAGCGUUAUUGAUGUGCAAAUCAUUUGUCAGAUGUAGGUAUAGGUGCGAAAGACUCAUCGAACCUCCUAAUAGCUGGUUUCCUCCGAAGUUUCCCUCAGGAUAGCUGUAACGCAUAUAGUUAAGGGGAGUAGAGAAAUGGGUAGAGGUGUAGGGGCGCUUCGGUGCCUCAACUUAUUUCCAAACUUCGAAUCUCCUUGUUAUUAAUUUACCUAAUAGGAAAUUAAUAAAUGAAUUGGCGUUAUAAGUGGGCUCUGACCGGUAAGCGGUCAUGGCGAAAUGGGAUGAACCAUACGUUAAGAUAAGGUGCCUAAAUAUACCACCACUGAUACCAUUAAGAGAGUCCAUGUAUUAAAACAGCAGGUCGGUGUCCCUAAAAGUAGGCAUCCGCUAAUGAGUGUGUUAAAACUCCCCUGCCGAAUACUAGGGCCUCGAAAAUGAAUGGCGCAUAUGGUAUUACCGAUACUUAACACUUCUUUAGAUAAAGAAGGAGUAGGAGGAUGUGGACAUUUUAAAGAAGAUAUCAUGUAAGUGAUAUUGGAAGAGUGUCUAUUACAGAUCCUAAUUGAAGUAGCGUUUAUCCAGGUUAACAUCCUGGGGGCUGAUGAGGAGUAGGGUUUCUGGGCAACAUAAACUGUCCCAGAGUUAGUCGAUCCUGAUCUCAAUAAUGAGAGAAAGGGAGUACGGUUGAUAUUCCGUAACUGACAACAGGUAGCGGUAACGCUUUCUAUCUUUCUCCAUCGAUCUUAUACCGUUUGGCAGGGAUCUCUUUCCUGUAUGACAACAUUUAUAUCCAAGGAAUCAGGUCAACUGGGGAUUUGUGAUGUUUUGUUGGCAAAACGCAGCAUUUGUUGCGUCAUUGGCUAUUGGAUUGAUCCAUGAAGCGAGAGAUAGAUUACUGUGUCAUUCGUACCGAUGACCGCAUCAGGUCUCCAAGGUGAGUAGCCUAUGGCCAUUGAGGCAUGAUAGUUUAGGGAAUUCGGCCAAUUAGAGCUGUAACUUCGGGAUAAAGCUUGGCUCUGAUGAAAAUCAGAACCGAUUGUUACGAGGAGAGCCCAACUGUUUAAUAAAAACACAGCGUCGCGCUGUUCUCUUAUAGGAAGUUAACGCGACGUGAAUCCUGCUCAGUGCUGUGUCUGUUAACAUGGUUCAAGCCAACGAAGCACCGGUAAAUAGCUGGGGUAACUAUGACUCUUAUCAAAGUAGCGAAAUACCUCGUCACUUAAUUAGUGACCUGCAUGAACGGAGCAACGAGGUUCUCACUGUCCCAAACUGUCUCUCAGCGAACCAACUGUAGUGGGAACGGGCACUAACUAUCCAGCGGGGAAAGAAGACCCUGUAGAGCUUCACUUUGGUCUAGUCUUGUAUGGUUCCUGCGGGGGUGCAGACUAGGUGGGAGAGCAAUCGAUUAUGAGAAACCACUACCCUGUUUGGAAUUAUGCUUACCUCCUUGAGGAAUAGGACUAGAUAGAAAGUUUGGCUGGGGCGGCACACCUUCGAAAAAGCAGCGAAGGUGUCCUAAGUUGAGCUCAGUGAGGACAGAAAUCUCACGUUGAGGAUAAGGCCAAAAGCUCAAUUUACUGUGCCUUUUUGUACUAGGACCAGUUUGGAAACAAAGGCCUAACGAUCCCUAAUUAGUCUUAGGUGCGUAAGACUUGGGGUGACAGACAAGUUACCUCCGGGACAACUGGCUUGUGGCUGCUAAGAGAUCAAAUCAACGCAGCUUUUUGAUUCUUCGAUGUCGGCUCUUCCUAUCCUAGUGAUGUAUAAGUUACUAAGGGUUGGAUUGUUCACCCGUAUUAGGGAUCGUGAGCUGGGUUUAGACCGUCGUGAGCCAGGUUUGUUUUAUCCUACUGGAUAUACCAUCAUGAUAGUAGUUUGAUUUAGUACGAGAGGAACUGUUGAAUAUGGCCUCUGGUUAGCGAUUUUGGGAAACCGAAUGUCGCGCAGCUACGCCGUCUGGGAUAAUGGCUGAAGGCCUCUUAAGCCAGAAACUCAUCUAGAAAAUGAUGGAUUGUAUAUGUUCUCCUACAGAAUAAUUUUAAUUUUCAAGGAGUAAUAUACUAGGUAACCCAAUGUAGAAGACAUUGUAUCAACGAGGGUCCUGUAAGUGGUGGAGUGGCAUUACGUCCACGACCUAUUGAGGGUCAGCCUUGUUUGU
This 3006-nucleotide ribosomal RNA is filed under the name Bacteroidetes bacterium RIFOXYC12_FULL_35_7. RNAcentral's name for it is "eukaryotic LSU rRNA". It matches the Rfam family "Eukaryotic large subunit ribosomal RNA". The record is from RNAcentral. Lineage: Bacteria; Pseudomonadati; Bacteroidota.